UACAGAGGUGGCAAGCGUUGUUCGGAAUUACUGGGCGUAAAGGGCGCGUAGGCGGUCUUGUAAGUCUUGUGUGAAAUCCCUCGGCUCAACUGAGGAACUGCACGGGAUACUGCGAGACUUGAGUUCGGGAGAGGGAAGCGGAAUUCCGGGUGUAGCGGUGAAAUGCGUAGAUAUCAGGAGGAACACCGGUGGCGAAGGCGGGUCUCUGGGCAACAACUGACGCUGAGGAGCGAAAGCGUGGGGAGCGAACAGG
Molecule: ribosomal RNA, 253 nt
Filed under: uncultured bacterium
Lineage: Bacteria
Description: partial 16S ribosomal RNA
Rfam family: Bacterial small subunit ribosomal RNA
Source: RNAcentral